Long non-coding RNA from Sinocyclocheilus grahami, 90 nucleotides. RefSeq lists it as uncharacterized. NCBI's taxonomy places the organism in Eukaryota, Metazoa, Chordata, Actinopteri, Cypriniformes, Cyprinidae. The transcript has 3 exons. The record is from RefSeq and is a predicted model, not a curated record.
AACACAAGUGCAAUGGACAUUUAAAAAAGUGCAUAGAAAAUAUUCCAGUGUGCAAAUGGAUCAUUCAGUAUUCUGGAUUCAGUAUUACAG